RNAcentral lists this ribosomal RNA (512 nucleotides) under uncultured bacterium. RNAcentral's name for it is "partial 16S ribosomal RNA". It matches the Rfam family "Bacterial small subunit ribosomal RNA", at positions 28 to 523 of the family's 1533-position model. The record is from RNAcentral.
GACGAACGCUGGCGGCGUGCCUAAUACAUGCAAGUCGAGCGAAUGGAAGGGAGCUUGCCCCCUGAAGUUAGCGGCGGACGGGUGAGUAACACGUGGGCAACCUGCCUGUAAGACUGGGAUAACUUCGGGAAACCGGAGCUAAUACCGGAUACGUUCUUUCCUCGCAUGAGGAAAGAUGGAAAGAUGGUUUCGGCUAUCACUUACAGAUGGGCCCGCGGCGCAUUAGCUAGUUGGUGGGGUAACGGCCCACCAAGGCGACGAUGCGUAGCCGACCUGAGAGGGUGAGCGGCCACACUGGGACUGGGACACGGCCCAGACUCCGACGGGAGGCAGCAGUAGGGAAUCUUCCGCAAUGGACGAAAGUCUGACGGAGCAACGCCGCGUGAGCGAAGAAGGCCUUCGGGUCGUAAAGCUCUGUUGUCAGGGAAGAACAAGUGCCAGAGUAACUGCUGGCACCUUGACGGUACCUGACCAGAAAGCCACGGCUAACUACGUGCCAGCCGCCGCCGUAA